This 628-nucleotide long non-coding RNA is filed under the name Manacus vitellinus (golden-collared manakin). RNAcentral describes it as "lncRNA (ENSMVIG00005018608.1)". The record is from RNAcentral. Lineage: Eukaryota; Metazoa; Chordata; Aves; Passeriformes; Pipridae.
CCCAGCUCCUUCUAUAGACAGAAGCACAAAGCCCUCCCUGGACCGCCUUGCUCCCCCCUUUGAAAGAGAGAGCCCAGCUGCAGCUUUUACUAUUUUCAGGGAAGAAGCCAAGCAUUCCUGAAAAGCCUCUGGUUUCACAGCUAAGGUAAGAGUUUUCCCUCUGGAAAUGGUCCUCUCAGUGCCAAUAUUCCCCAGUUAGUUCUCAAUAAGCAGCUUUUUGCCUUUAUUUCAUCCUCUUGCUCCUGCUUUAGGUCCCUGGGGGAACAGCUGGCAAUGAUGCCCAAACCUCCUGUCCCACCAAGUGACAGAUAUGAAAGAGGCAACCCCCCUCCCUUAAGGAAGCAAAGCCCUGGAAAGCAGAGUUGGCCACCACACAAAAAAAAUGAAGUAAGUGUAGUCUCAAAGCACAUAUUUAAAAUAUAUGGACUCCAAUGAAAUUAAGUGCCUGUAUUAACUAAUCAUUCUGGACGAGGUAAACUUGUUUCUUUUAUCAGUUGUAAAGAACACUCCUGGAUCUUUUGCAGCACAUGGGGUGUUUUUAAGCAUUUCUUCUGUGUCAAGCUCAUAUUCCCUUAGUACUUCAUCUUAGAUAAGGGAAGAAUAAAACCAGAUUAUUUUUUUUUAUACA